This 13085-nucleotide long non-coding RNA is filed under the name Cricetulus griseus (Chinese hamster). Its description in RNAcentral is "lncRNA (ENSCGRG00015040757.1)". The record is from RNAcentral. Lineage: Eukaryota; Metazoa; Chordata; Mammalia; Rodentia; Cricetidae.
UCAGUCCAUGUGUUAGUAGUGUAUGUGUGUGGUGUGUGUGUUUGACAUGUGUAGUGUAGUGUAUGUGUGUGGUGUGUGUGUGCAGUGUGUUUGUGAAUUGUAUGUAUGCGGUGUGUGUGUGCGGUGCAGUGUGUGGGGGGGUGUUUUUGUAGAAUACGUGUGUGCAGUGCAGGUUUUUGUAGUGUACGUGUGUAGUGUUUGUGUUUGGUGUGUGUGUGUGGUGUGUUUGUGUUUGCUGGAUGUGUGUUGUAUAUGUGUGUGGUGUGUGUGUGCAGUGUGUGUGUGCGGUGAGUGUAGUGUAGUGUAUUUGUGUGUAGUGUCGCGGUGUAUGAAUUUGUAGUGUAUGUGUGUGUUGUUUGGUUUGGGAAGUUUGUGUUUACUGUAUGUGUGUGGUGUGUGUGUAGUGUAUGUUUGUUGCGUAUGUUUGUGGUGUAUGUGUGCGGUGUGUGUGUGUGAGGUAAGCGUGUUUGUAUUGUGUCUGUGCAGUCGAUGUGUUAGUAAUUUAUGUGUGUGGUGUGUGUGUUUGAAGUGUGUAGUAUAGUGUAUGUGUGUGGUGUGUGUGUGCAGUGUGCUUGUGUAUUGUAUGUAUGCGGUGUGUGUGUGCAGUGUAUGUGUUUGUAGUGUAUGUUUGUUGUGUAUGUGUACAGUGUGUUGUGUGUAUUUGGUGAGUUUGUGUUUCCUGUUUCUGUGGUGUAUUUUGUAGUGUAUGUUUGUUUUGUAUGUGUGCAGUGUGCAGAGUGUUUGUGUGCGUUUUGUGCGUGUUUUUAUUGUAUGUGUGCAGUCCAUGUGAUGGUAUUGUUUGUGUGUGGUGUAUGUGUUUGACGUGUGUAGUGCAGUGUAUGUGUAUGGUGUGUGUGUGCAGUGUUUCUAUAUUGUAUGUAAGCAGUGGGUAUGUGCGUUGUGUGUGUGCGGUGAGUGUGUGCCAUGUGUGUUUUUAGUGUGUGUGGGUGCGGUGUAGGUUUUUGUAGAGUAUUGUGUAGUGUGUGUGUGUGUAGUGUAUGUCUAUAGUGUAUGUUUGUGGUGUAUUUGUGUGGUGUGUGUGUGUUUUGUGAAUGUAUGCGGUGUGUGUGUAUUUGCGGUGUGUGUGUUUGUAUUGUGUGUGUGCUGACCAUGUAUUAGUAGUGUAGGUGUGUGGUGUGUGUGUUUGACAUGGAUAGUGUAGUGUAUUUGCGUGGUGUGUGUGUGCAGUUGUUUCUGAAUUGUAUGUAUGCGGUGUUUGUGAGCGGUGUGUGUGUUCAGUGUGUGUCUGCGGGGUGUCUUUGUAGCAUGUUUGUGUGCUGUAGUGUGUCUGUUUGGUGUGUUUGCGUUUGCUGGAUGUGUGUAGUGUAUGUGUGUGGUGUGUGUGUGUGCAGUGUGUGUAGUGUAUUGUAUGUGUGUGGUGUGUGUGCGGUGUAUGUGUUUGUAGUGUAUGUGUGUGUUGUUUGCGUUUGGUGAGUUUGUGUUUACUGUAUGUGUGUGGAGUGUGUGUAGUUUAUGUUUGUUGUGUAUGUUUGUGGUGUAUGUGUGCAGUGUGUGUGUGUUUUGUCUGUAUGCGGUUUGUGUGUGAGGUAUGCGUGUUUGUAUUGUGUCUGUGUAGUCCAUGUACUGGUAGUGUAUGUUUGUGGUGUGUGUUUGACAUGUGUACUCUGGUGUACGUGUGUGCUGUGUGUUUGCAUUGUGAUUGUGAAUUGUAUGUAUGCGGUGUGUCUAUGUGGUGCAGUGUGUCUGGGGUGUGUGUGUUUGUAGUAUAUGUGUGUGCGGUGUAGGAUUUGUAGUGUAUUCUGUAGUGUGUGUGUUUGGUGUGUUUGUGGUUACUGUAUGUGUGUGGUGUGUGUGUUUGGUGUGUUUGUGUUUGCUGGAUGUGUGUGGUGUAUGUGUGGUGUGUGUGCGGUGUGUGUCUGCGGUGUGUGUAGUGUGGUGUAUGUGUGUGGUGUGUGUGCGGUGUAUGUGUUUGUAGUGUAUGUGUGUGUUGUUUGUGUUUGGUGAGUUUGUGAUUACUGUAUGUGUGUGAUAUUUGUGUAUAUGUUUGUUGUGUAUGUUUGUGGUGUAUGUGUGUGGUGUGUGUUGGGGGUGUAUGUGUGCAGUGUCUUUGUGGAGUGAAUGUAUGCGGUGUGGGUGUGCAGUAUGUGUGUGUGCGGUGUAGAUGUUUGUAGUGUGCGUGUGCAGUGUGUGUAGUGUGGUGUAUGUGUGUGGUGUGUGUGCGGUGUAUGUGUUUGUAGUGUAUAUAUGUGUUGUUUGUGUUUGGUGAGUUUGUGUUUACUGUAUGUGUGUGGUAUUUGUGUAGUGUAUGUUUGUUGUCUAUGUUUGUGGUGUAUGUGUGUGGUGUGUGUGUAUGACGUGUGUAGUAUAGUGUAUGUGUGUAGUGUGUGUGUGCAGUGUUCUUGUGUAUUGUAUGUAUGCGGUGUUUGUGUGCAGUGUGUGUGCGGUGUGUGUGAUUGUAGUAUGUGUGUGCACGGUGUAUGUGCUUGUACUGUAUGUGUGUCUUGUGUUUGGUGUGUUUGUUUUUAUUGUAUGUGUGUGGUGUGUGUGGUGUAUGUGUGGGGUGUAUGUGUGCAGUGUGUUUGUGGAGUGAAUGUAUGCGGUGUGGGUGUGCGGUAUGUGUGGGCGGUGUAGAUGUUAGUAGUGUGCAUGUGCGGUGUAUGUGUUUAUAGUGUAUGUGUGAGUUGUGUGUUUGGUGUGUUUGUCUCUAUGUGUGCUGUGUGUGUGUUUGGUGUGUGGGUUUGGUGUGUGUAAUAUAGUGUAUGUGUGUGGUGUGUAUGUGUGUAGUGUGUGUGGUGUAUGUGUGCAGUGCGUUUGUGUAGUUUCUGUAUGCUGUGUGUGUUUGAGGCUUGUGUGUGCGGUGUGUAUGUUUGUAGUGUGUUGUGCAUUGUAUAUGUGUAUAGUAUACGUGUGUAUGUAUGUAUGUAUGCGUUAAGUGUGUGUGCGAUGUGCGUGUUUGUAUUGUGUGUGUGUGUGUAGUCAAUGUAUCCGGUGUGUGUGUGGGGGUAUCUGUUUGUGGUGUGUAUAUUUGUACUGUGUGUGUGUGAUUUCUAUGUUUAUACUGUGUGUGGUAUGUGUGGUGUGUUUGGUUUUAUAGUAUGUGUGAGGGUGUGUAUGUGUGCUGUGUUUUUGCAGUGUAUGUGUUUGUUGUUGUAUGUGUGUUGUGUGUUAUUUGGUAUGUGUGUGUAAUGUGUGUGUGUUGUGUGUGUUUGGUGUGUGUAGUGUAAUGAAUAUGUGUGGUGUGUGUGGUGUAUGUGUUUGUAGUGUAUAUGUGUGUUGUGUGUGUUUGGUGAGUUUGAGUUUACUCUAUGUGUGUGAGGAGUGUCUUUUUGUAGUGUAUGUUUGUGGUGUAUGUGUGAGGUGUAUGUGUUUGUUGUAUGUGUGUGGUGUGUUAUUUGUUAUGUGUGUGUAGCGUGUGUGUUUUGUGUGUGUUUGGUGUGUGUAGUGUAAUGUAUGUGUGUGGUGUGUGUGUGCAGUGUGUGUGUUUGUAGUGUAUGUUUGUUGUGUAUGUGUACAGUGUGUUGUGUGUGUUUGGUGAGUUUGUGUUUCCUGUUAGUGUGGUGUAUUUUGUAGUGUAUGUUUGUUUUGUAUGUAUGCAGUGUGCGGAGUGUUUCUGUGCGUUUUGUGCGUGUUUGUAUUGUAUGUGUGCAGUCCAUGUGAUGGUAUUGUAUGUGGUGUAUGUGUUUGACGUGUGUAGUGUAGUGUAUGUGUAUGGUGUGUGUGUGCAGUGUUUCUGUAUUGUAUGUAAGCGGUGUGUAUGUGCGGUGUGUGUGUGCGGUGUGUGGUUUUAGUGUGUGGGUGCGGGGUAGGUUUUUGUAGAGUAUUGUGUAGUGGGUGUGUGUAGUGUAUAUUUGUAGUGUAUGUUUGUGGUGUAUUUGUGCGGUGUGUGUGUGUUUUGUGUAUGUAUGCGGUGUGUGUGUAUUUGCGGUGUGUGUUUGUAUUGUGUGUGUGCUGACCAUGUAUUAGUAGUGUAGGUGUGUGGUGUGUGUGUUUGACAUGUGUAGUGUAGUGUAUUUGCGUGGUGUGUGUGUGCAGUUGUUUCUGAAUUGUAUGUAUGCGGUGUUUGUGAGCGGUGUGUGUGUGCAGUGUGUGUCUGCGGGGUGUGUUUGUAGCAUGUUUUUGCGCUGUAGGUUUUUGUAGUGUAUGUGUGUAGUGUGUGUGUUUGGUGUGUUUGUGUUUGCUGGAUGUGUGUAGUGUAUGUGUGUGGUGUUUGUGUGCAGUGUGUAUGUGAGGUGUGUGUAGUGUAGUGUAUGUGUGUGGUGUGUGUGCCGUGUAUGUGUUUGUAGUGGAUGUGUGUGUUGUUUGUGUUUGGUGAGUUUGUGUUUACUGUAUGUGUGUGAUGUGUGUGUAGUGUAUGCUUGUUGUGUAUGUUUGUUGUGUAUGUGUGCGGUGUGUGUGAGGUAUGCGUGUUUGUAUUGUAUCUGCGCAGUCCAUGUGUUAGUAGUGUAUGCUUGUGGUGUGUGUGUUUGACAUGUGUCUGUAGUGUAUGUGUGUGCUGUGUGUGCAUUGUGAUUGUGAAUUGUAUGUAUGCGGUGUGUCUGUGCGGUGCAGUGUGUGUGGGAUGUGUGUUUGUAGUAUAUAUGUGUGCGGUGUAGGUUUUUGUAGUGUAUGUGUGUAGUGUGUGUGUUUGGUGUGUUUGUGGUUACUGUAUGUGUGUGGUGUGUGUGUUUGGUUAGUUUGUGUUUACUGUAUGUGUGUGUAGUGUAUUUUUGUAGUGUAUGUUUGUUGUGUAUGUGUGCAGUGUGUGUGUGUAAUGUAUGUAUGCGGAGGGUUUGUGUGCAUUGUGCGUGUUUGUAUUGUAUGUGUGCAGUCAUGUGAUGGUAUUGUAUAUGUGGGGUGUGUGUGUUUGACGUGUCUAGUGUAGUGUAUAUGUAUGGUUUGUGUGUGCAGUGUGUUUCUGUAUUGUAUGUAUGCUGUGUGUAUGUGCGGUGUGUGUGCGGUGUGAGUGUGUGCGAUGUGUGUUUUUAGUGUGUGUGUGUGCGGUGUAGGUUUUUGUAAAGUAUGUGUGUAGAGUGUGUGUGUAGUGUAUGUUAGUGUGUAUUUGUGCUGUGUGUGUGAAGUGUGUUUUUGAAUUGUCUGUAUGCGGUUUGUGUGAGCAGUGUGUGUGUGCCUUGUGUUGGGGGUGUGUGUGUUUGUAGUAUGUGUGUGUGUGGUGUAGGUUUUUGAAGUGUAUUGUGUAGUGUGUGUGUUUGACUUGUGUAGUGUAGUGUAUGUGUAUGGUGUGUGUGCAGAGUGUUUCUGUAUUGUAUUAUGCGGUGUGUAUGUGCGGUGUGUGUGUGCGGUGUGUGUGUGCGGUGUGUGUUUUUCAUGUGUGUGUGUGCGGUGUAGGUUUUUGUAGAGUAUGUGAGUAGUGUGUUUGUUUAGUGUGUGUGUAUUGUAUGUUUGUGGUGUAUUCAUUCGGUGUGUGUGUGCAGUGCAUUUGUGAAUUGUAUGUAUGUGGUGUGUGUGAGCGGUGUGUGUGUGAAGUGUGUGUGUGCGGUGUGUUUGUGUUUGCUGGAUGUGUGUGUUGUGUAUGUGUGUGGUGUGUGUGCAGAUGUGUGCAGUGUGUAUAGUGUAGUGUAUGUGUGUGGUGUGUGUGCGGUGUAUGUGUUUGUAGUGUAUGUGUGUGUUGUUUGUGUUUGGUGAGUUUGUGUUUACUGUAUGUGUGUGUUGUUUGUGUAGUGUAUGUUUGAUGUGUAUGUUUGUGGUGUAUCUGUGCCGUGUGAGUGUGUGUUCUGUUUAUGUAUGUGUUUGAGUGUGUGAGGUAUGCUUGCUUGUAUUGUGUCUGUGCAGUCCAUGUGUUAAUAGUGUAUGUGUGUGGUGUGUGUGUAUGAAGUGUGUAGUAUAGUGUAUGUGUGUGGUGUGUGUGUGCAGUGUGCUUGUGUAUUGUAUGUAUGCGGUGUUUGUGUGCAGUGUGUGUGCGGUGUGUUUGAUUGUAGUAUGUGUGUGUACGGUAUGUGUGUGUUGUGUUUGUUUGGUGUGUUUGUGUUUACUGUAUGUGUGUGGUGUGUGUGUGGUGUAUGUGUUGGGUGUAUUGUGCAGUGUGUUUGUGGAGUGAAUGUAUGCGGUGUGUGGGUGCGGUAUGUGUGUGCAGUGUGGAUAUUUGUAGUGUGCCUGUGCGGUGUAUGUGUUUAUAGUGUAUAUGUGUGGUGUAUUUUUGGUGUUUUUGUCUUUACUGUAUGUGUGUUGUGUGUGUGUGGUGUGUUUAAUAUAGUGUAUGUUUGUGGUCUGUGUGUGUCGUGUAUGUGUGCAGUGCGUUUCUGUAGUUUAUGUAUGCUGUGUGUGUGUGCGGUAUGUGUGUGCGGUGUGUAUGUUGGUAGUGUGUUGUGCGGUGUAUAUGUGUAUAGUGUAUGUGUAUUGUGUGUGUGUGUAGUGUAUGUAUGCAUUAUGUGUGUGUGCGAUGUGCGUGUUUGUAUUGUGUGUGCAUUCCAUUUGAUGGUAGUGUAUGUGUGUGGUGUGUGCGUUUGACGUGUGUAGUGUAGUGUAUGUGUGUGGUGUGAGUGUGUGCAACGUGUUUCUGUAUUGUAUGUAUGCAGUGUGUGUGUGCGUUGUUUGUGUGCGGUGUCUGGGGAUGUAGUGCGUGUGUUUGUGGUGUAGGUUUUUGUAGUGUAUGUGUGUAGUGCGUGUGUUUGGUGUGUUUUUUGAUGUAUGUGUAUGUGUGUGCUGUGUGUGUGCAUUGUGAUUGUGAAUUGUAUGUAUGCGGUGUGUCUGUGCGGUGCAGUGUGUGUGGUGUGAGUGUGUGCAACGUGUUUCUGUAUUGUAUGUAUGCAGUGUGUGUGUGCGUUGUUUGUGUGCGGUGUCUGGGGAUGUAGUGCGUGUGUUUGUGGUGUAGGUUUUUGUAGUGUAUGUGUGUAGUGCGUGUGUUUGGUGUGUUUUUUGAUGUAUGUGUAUGUGUGUGCUGUGUGUGUGCAUUGUGAUUGUGAAUUGUAUGUAUGCGGUGUGUCUGUGCGGUGCAGUGUGUGUGGGGUGUGUGUGUUUGUAGUAUAUGUGUGUGCAGUGUACGUUUUUGUAGUGUAUGUGUGUAGUGUGUGUGUUUGGUGUGUUUGUGGUUACUGUAUUUGCGUGGUGUGUGUGUUUGUUGUGUUUGUGUUUGCUGGAUGUGUGUGGUGUAUGUGUGGUGUGUGUGUGCAGUGUGUGUGUGAGGUGUGUGUAGUGUGGUGUAUGUGUGUGGUGUGUGUGCGGUGUAUGUGUUUGUAGUGUAUGUGUGUGUUGUUUGUGUUUGGUGAGUUUGUGUUUAUCGUAUGUGUGUGGUAUUUGUCUAGUGUAUGUUUGUUGUGUAUGUUUGUGGUGUAUGUGUGUGGUGUGUGUGUAUGACGUGUGUAGUAUAGUAUAUGUGUUUGGUGUGUGUGUUUGGUGUGUUUGUGUUUGCUGGAUGUGUCUGGUGUAUGUGUGUAGUGUCUGUUUGCAGUGUGUGUGUGUGCGGUGUGUGUAGUGUUGUAUAUGUGUGUGGUGUGUGUGCCGUGUAUGUGUUUGUAGUGUAUGUGGGUGUUGUUUGUGUUUGGUGAGUUUGUGCUUACUGUAUGUGUGUGGUAUUUGUGUAGUGUAUGUUUGUUGUGUAUGUUUGUGGUGUAUUGUGUGGUGUGUGUGUAUGACGUGUGUAGUGUAGUGUAUGUGUGUGGUGUAUGUGUGCAGUGUGCUUGUGUAUUGUAUGUAUGCGGUGUUUGUGUGCAGUGUGCGUGCGGUGUGUGUGAUUGUAGUAUGUGUGUGUACGGUGUAUGUGUUUGUACUGUAUGUGUGUUUUGUGUUUGUUUGGUGUGUUUGUGUUUACUGUAUGUGUGUGGUGUGUGUGUGGUGUAUGUGUGGGGUGUAUGUGUGCAGUUCGUUUGUGUAGUUUCUGUAUGCUGUGUGUGUGUUAGGUAUGCAGUGUGGGUUUGCCGUAUGUGAGUGUGGUGUAGAUGUUUGUAGUGUGCGUGUGCGGUGUAUGUGUUUAUAGUGUAUGUGUGAGGUAUGUGUUUGGUGUGUUUGUGUGUGUGUUGUGUGUGUCUGUGUGUUGUGUGUGUGGUGUGUGUGUUUGGUGUGUGUAAUAUAGUGUAUGUGUGUGGUGUGUAUGUGUGUGGUGUAUGUGUGCAGUUCGUUUGUGUAGUUUCUGUAUGCUGUGUGUGUGUGUGUGAGGUAUGUGUGUGCAGUAUGUAUGUUUGUUGUGUGUUGUGUGGUGUAUAUGUGUAUAGUGUAUGUGUAUCAUGUGUGUGUGUGUGUAGUGUAUGUAUGCGUUAUAUGUGUGUGCGAUGUGCGUGUUUGUAUUGUGUGUGUGCAUUCCAUGUGAUGGUAGUGUAUGUGUGUGGUGUGUGUGUUUGACGUGUGUAGUGUAGUGUAUGUAUACAGUGUGUGUGUGCGUUGUUUGUGUGCGGUGUCUGUUUGUUGUGUGUGUUUGUGGUGUAGAUUUUUGUAGUGUAUGUGUGUAGUGCGUGUAUUUGGAGUGUUUUUUGAUGUAUGUUUGUGCAGUGUGAGAAGUGUAAGUUUAUAAAGCAUGCGUUGUGUGUGUGCUUUGCUUGUGUGCGGUGUGUGUGUGUAGUGCAUGUGUGAGGUGUAUGUGUGUAGUGUGUGUGUGUAGUCAAUGUAUUCGGUGUCUGUGUGGGGGGUAUCUGUUUGCGGUGUGUAUAUUUGUACUGUGUGUGUGCGAUUUCUAUGUUUAUAUUGUAAGUGUGUGGUGUGUGUGUUUGGUGUGUUUGGGUUUAUUGUAUGUGUGAGGUGUGUGUGUGUGUGUGUGUGCUGUGUUUUUGUGGUGUAUGUGUUUUUUGUUGUAUGUGUGUGGUGUGUUAUUUGGUAUGUGUGUGUGUUGUGUGUGUUUGGUGUGUGUAGUGUAAUGUAUGUGUGUGUUGUGUGUGGUGUAUGUGUUUGUAGUGUAUAUGUGUGUUGUGUGUGUUUGGUGAGUUUGUGUUUACUCUAUGUGUGUGAGUAGUGUCUUUUUGUAGUGUAUGUUUGUGGUGUAUGUGUGCGGAGUAUGUGUUUGUUGCUGUAUGUGUGCGGUGUGUUAUUUGUUAUGUGUGUGUAGCGUGUGUGUUUUGUGUGUGUUUGGUGUGUGUAGUGUAAUGUAUGUGUGUGGUGUGUGUGUGCAGUGUGUGUGUUUGUAAUGUAUGUUUGUUGUGUAUGUGUACAGUGUGUUGUGUGUGUUUGGUGAGUUUGUGUUUACUGUAUGUGUGUGUAGUGUAUUUUUGUAGUGUAUGUUUGUUGUGUAUGUGUGCAGUGUGUGUGUGUAAUGCAUGUAUGCGGAGUGUUUGUGUGCGUUGUGCGUGUUUGUAUUGUAUGUGUGCACUCAUGUGAUGGUAUUGUAUAUGUGUGGUGUGUGUGUUUGACGUGUGUAGUGUAGUGUAUGUGUAUGGUGUGUGUGUGCAGUGUGUUUCUGUAUUGUAUGUAUGUGGUGUGUAUUUGCAGUGUGUGUGUGCGGUGUGUGUGCGAUGUGUGUUAUUAGUGUGUGUGUUUGUGUGUGCGGUGUAGGUUUUUGUAGAGUAUGUGUGUAAUGUGUGUGUGUAGUGUAUGCUUGUGUUUAUUUGUGCGGUGUGUGUGUGUGAAGUGUGUUUGUGAAUUGUAUGUAUGCGGUGUGUGUGUGCCUUGUAUGUGGUGGUGUGUGUGUUUGUAGUAUGUGUGUGUGUGGUGUAGGUUUUUGAAGUGUAUGUGUGUAGUGUGUGUGUUUGACAUGUGUAGUGUAGUGUAUGUGUAUGGUGUGUGUGCAGAGUGUUUCUGUAUUGUAUUAUGCGGUGUGUAUGUGCGGUGUGUGUGUGCGGUGUAUGUGUGUGGUGUGUGUUUUUAAUGUGUGUGUGUGCGGUGUAGGUUUUUGUAGAGUAUGUGAGUAGUGUGUUUUUUUAGUGUGUGUGUGUAGUGUAUAUUUGGGGUGUUUUUUUUUCGGUGUUUGUGUGCAGUGCAUUUGUGAAUUGUAUGUAUGCGGUGUGUGUGAGCGGUGUGUGUGUGAAGUGUGUGUGUGCGGUGUGUGUUUGUAGUAUGUGUGUGCGGUGUAGGUUUUUGUAGUGUAUGUUUGUAGUGUGUGUGUUUGGUGUGUUUGUGGUUACUGUAUGUGUGUGGUGUGUGCGUUUGACGUGUGUAGUGUAGUGUAAGUGUGUGGUGUGUGUGUGCAACGUGUUUCUGCAUUGUAUGUAUGCAGUGUGUGUGUGCGUUGUUUGUGUGCGGUGUCUGUGUUUGUUGUGUGUGUUUGCGGUGUAGGUUUUUGUAGUGUAUGUGUGUAGUGCGUGUGUUUGGUGUGUUUUUUGAUGUAUGUUUGUGCAGUGUGAGAAGUGUAAGUUUAUAAAGCAUGCGUUGUGUGUGUGCUUUGCUUGUGUGCGGUGUGUGUGUGUAGUGCAUGUGUGAGGUGUAUGUGUGCAGUGUGUGUGUGUAGUCAAUGUAUGCGAUGUCUGUGUGGGGGGUAUCUGUUUGCGGUGUGUAUAUUUGUACUGUGUGUGUGCUAUUUCUAUGUUUAUACUGUGUGUGGUGUGUUUGUUUGGUGUGUUUGGGUUUAUUGUAUGUGUGAGGUGUGUGUGUGUGUGUGUGUUGUGUUUUUGCGGUGUAUGUGUUUGUUGUAUGUGUGUGGUGUGUUAUUUGGUAUGUGUGUGUAAUGUGUGUGUGUUGUGUGUGUUUGGUGUGUGUAGUGUAAUGUAUGUGUGUGGUGUGUGUGGUGUAUGUGUUUGUAGUGUAUAUGUGUGUUGUGUGUGUUUGGUGAGUUUGAUUUUACUCUAUGUGUGUGAGUAGUGUCUUUUUGUAGUGUAUGUUUGUGGUGUAUGUGUGCGGAGUAUGUGUUUGUUGUUGUAUGUGUGUGGUGUGUUAUUUGUUAUGUGUGUGUAGCGUGUGUGUUUUGUGUGUGUUUGGUGUGUGUAGUGUAAUGUAUGUGUGUGGUGUGUGUGUGCAGUGUGUGUGUUUGUAGUGUAUGUUUGUUGUGUAUGUGUACAGUGUGUUGUGUGUGUUUGGUGAGUUUGUGUUUCCUGUUUGUGUGGUGUAUUUUGUAGUGUAUGUUUGUUUUGUAUGUGUGCAGUGUGCGGAGUGUUUGUGUGCGUUUUGUGCGUGUUUGUAUUGUAUGUGUGCAGUCCAUGUGAUGGUAUUGUAUGUGUGUGGUGUAUGUGUUUGACGUGUGUAGUGUAGUGUAUGUGUAUGGUGUGUGUGUGCAGUGUGUUUCUGUAUUGUAUGUAAGCGGUGUGUAUGUGCGGUGUGUGUGUGCGGUGUGUGUUUUUAGUGUGAGUGGGUGCUGUGUAGGUUUUUGUAGAGUAUUGUGUUGUGUGUGUGUAUAGUGCAUGUUUGUGGUGUAUUUGUGCAGUGUGUGUGUUUUGUGUAUGUAUGCUGUGUGUGUGUAUUUGCGGUGUGUGUUUGUAUUGUGUGUGUGCUGACCAUGUAUUAGUAGUGUAGGUGUGUGUUGUGUGUGUUUGACAUGUGUAGUGUAGUGUAUUUGCGUGGUGUGUGUGUGCAGUUGUUUCUGAAUUGUAUGUAUGCUGUGUUUGUGAGCGGUGUGUGUUUGCAGUGUGUGUCUGCGGGGUGUGUUUGUAGCAUGUUUGUGCGCUGUAGGUUAUUGUAUUGUAUGUGUGUAGUGUAUGUGUUUGGUGUGUUUGUGUUUGCUGGAUGUGUGUAGUGUAUGUGUGUGGUGUGUGUGCGGUGUAUGUGUUUGUAGUGUAUGUGUGUGUUGUUUGCGUUUGGUGAGUUUGUGUUUACUGAAUGUGUGUGAUGUGUGUGUAGUUUAUGUUUGUUGUGUAUGUGUGCAGUGUGUGUGUGUUGUGUAUGUAUGCGGUGUGUGUGUGUGAGGUAUGCGUGUUUGUAUUGUGUCUGUGCAGUCCAUGUGUUAGUGGCGUAUGUGUGUGGUGUGUGUGUUUGACAUGUGUAGUGUAGUGUAUGUGUGUGGUGUGUGUGCAGUGUAUUUGUGAACUGUAUGUAUGUGGUGUGUGUAUGUGCGGUGCAUUGUGUGUGGGGGUGUGUGUGUGUGUGUGUGUGUGUGUGUCUGUAGUAUAUGUGUGUGCGGUGUAGGUUUUUGUAGUGUAUGUGUAUAGUGUGUGUGUUUGGUGUUUGUGUUUACUGUAUGUGUGUGGUGUGUGUGUUUGGUGUGUUUGUGUUUGCUGGAUGUGUCUGGUGUAUGUGUGUGGUGUGUGUGUCGUGUAUGUGUUUGUAGUGUAUGUGUGAGGAAUAGAGGAGGGCAUGUAAGGAGAUGCCUUGACAGACGGAGACAGUACAGGUUUGGAGAGAGGGCUGGCACAGGGGAAAAGUUAGUGAAUCCACUGGGAUGACCCCAACUAAGAAUUUAGGCAGUGGUGGAGAGUUUGCGUUUGGUGCGUUUGUGUUUACUGUAUUGUGUGAUGUGUGUGUAGUGUAUGUUUGUUGUGUAUGUUUGUUGUGUAUGUGUGCGGUGUGUGUGUGUUUUGUAUGUAUGCGGUGGGUGUGUGAGGUAUGCGUGUUUGUAUUGUGUCUGUGCAGUCCAUGUGUUAGUAGUGUAUGUUUGCGGUAUGUGUGUUUGACAUGUGUACUGUAGUUUAUGUGUGUGCUGUGUGUGUGCAUUGUGAUUGUGAAUUGUAUGUAUGCGGUGUGUCUGUGCGGUGCAGUGUGUGUGGGGUGUGUGUGUGCAGUGUGCUUGUGUAUUGUAUGUAUGCGGUGUUUGUGUGCAGUGUGUGUGCGGUGUGUGUGAUUGUAGUAUGUGUGUGCACGGUGUAUGUGUUUGUACUGUAUGUGUGUUUUGUGUUUGGUGUGUUUGUGUUUACUGUAUGUGUGUGGUGUGUGUGUGGUGUAUGUGUGGGGUGUAUGUGUGCAGUGUGUUUGUGGAGUGAAUGUAUGUGGUGUCGGUGUGCGGUAUGUGUGUGCGGUGUAGAUGUUUGUAGUGUGCGUGUGCGGUGUAUGUGUUUAUAGUGUAUGUGUGAGGUUUGUUUUUGGUGUGUUUGUGUGUGUGUUGUGUGUGUGUGUGGUGUGUGUUUGGUGUGUUUGUUUGUAUGUGUGCUGUGUGUGUGUGUGGUGUGUGUGUUUGGUGUGUGUAAUAUAGUGUCUGUGUGUGGUGUGUAUGUGUGUGGGUUAGGUUAAGAGUUAAGACUAAAUUUUGUCUACCAUCUAAAGAUUGUACCUAGGUUGCUUCUGAUACUGGAGGAAUGUUAUACUGGCUAUUCCAUUGCUAUAAAAGUACAAGACCUCAGAGAUUUAUAGCUAUGUUUUCUACAUAUGGUUUCAGCCUUCCUUUCUGUCCUUUCGGUCCAAUGCAA